Molecule: ribosomal RNA, 482 nt
Filed under: uncultured bacterium
Lineage: Bacteria
Description: partial 16S ribosomal RNA
Rfam family: Bacterial small subunit ribosomal RNA
Source: RNAcentral
AUUGAACGCUGGCGGCAUGCCUUACACAUGCAAGUCGAACGGUAACGGGCCUUCGGGUGCCGACGAGUGGCGAACGGGUGAGUAAUACAUCGGAACGUGCCCGAUCGUGGGGGAUAACGAGGCGAAAGCUUUGCUAAUACCGCAUACGAUCUACGGAUGAGAGCAGGGGACCGCAAGGCCUUGCGCGGACGGAGCGGCCGAUGGCAGAUUAGGAAGUUGGUGGGAUAAAAGCUUACCAAGCCGACGAUCUGUAGCUGGUCUGAGAGGAUGAUCAGCCACACUGGGACUGAGACACGGCCCAGACUCCUACGGGAGGCAGCAGUGGGGAAUUUUGGACAAUGGGCGCAAGCCUGAUCCAGCCAUGCCGCGUGCAGGAUGAAGGCCUUCGGGUUGUAAACUGCUUUUGUACGGAACGAAAAGCCUUCUUUUAAUACAGGAGGGUCAUGACGGUACCGGAAGAAUAAGCACCGGCUAACUACGUG